GCCUGUGGUGAUAUCAUGUUGAAUGUACCAGUUCCCAACGGAUGAUCACUAAAGUUCAGCAACGUUUCGCGUGGUUGGUAUCGGGACGGGUGACCGAAAAAAGCCAGCUGCACGCG
This 116-nucleotide ribosomal RNA is filed under the name Diaphorina citri (Asian citrus psyllid). Lineage: Eukaryota; Metazoa; Arthropoda; Insecta; Hemiptera; Psyllidae. The record is from RNAcentral.